GUAGAGCUUGCUCCAUGAUUCAGCGGCGGAGGGUGAGUAAUGCCUAGGAAUCUGCCUGGUAGUGGGGGACAACGUUUCGAAAGGAACGCUAAUACCGCAUACGUCCUACGGGAGAAAGUGGGGGAUCUUCGGACCUCACGCUAUCAGAUGAGCCUAGGUCGGAUUAGCUAGUUGGUGAGGUAAAGGCUCACCAAGGCGACGAUCCGUAACUGGUCUGAGAGGAUGAUCAGUCACACUGGAACUGAGACACGGUCCAGACUCCUACGGGAGGCAGCAGUGGGGAAUAUUGGACAAUGGGCGAAAGCCUGAUCCAGCCAUGCCGCGUGUGUGAAGAAGGUCUUCGGAUUGUAAAGCACUUUAAGUUGGGAGGAAGGGCAGUAAGUUAAUACCUUGCUGUUUUGACGUUACCAACAGAAUAAGCACCGGCUAACUUCGUGCCAGCAGCCGCGGUAAUACGAAGGGUGCAAGCGUUAAUCGGAAUUACUGGGCGUAAAGC
Molecule: ribosomal RNA, 496 nt
Filed under: Stutzerimonas stutzeri
Lineage: Bacteria; Pseudomonadati; Pseudomonadota; Gammaproteobacteria; Pseudomonadales; Pseudomonadaceae
Description: bacterial SSU rRNA
Rfam family: Bacterial small subunit ribosomal RNA
Source: RNAcentral